UCGGUUCCGGUUCACGCUCUGCGCGCAUGUGUUGGGCGACCCGGCGACC
This 49-nucleotide non-coding RNA is filed under the name Nocardia sp. CNY236. Its description in RNAcentral is "L31-Actinobacteria ribosomal protein leader". It matches the Rfam family "L31-Actinobacteria ribosomal protein leader". The record is from RNAcentral. Lineage: Bacteria; Bacillati; Actinomycetota; Actinomycetes; Mycobacteriales; Nocardiaceae.